AUAAGUUUCUGGAAUUGUAGC
Molecule: microRNA, 21 nt
Filed under: Manduca sexta (tobacco hornworm)
Lineage: Eukaryota; Metazoa; Arthropoda; Insecta; Lepidoptera; Sphingidae
Description: mse-miR-9571a
Source: miRBase by way of RNAcentral